UACGUAGGGUGCGAGCGUUGUCCGGAAUUAUUGGGCGUAAAGAGCUCGUAGGUGGCCUGUCGCGUCGGCUCUGAAAGCCCGGGGCUCAACCCCGGGAGGCGGGUGGAUACUGUCAAGCUCGAGUCCGGAAGAGGAGUGUGGAAUUCCUGGUGUAGCGGUGAAAUGCGCAGAUAUCAGGAGGAACACCAAUGGCGAAGGCAGCACUCUGGGACGUGACUGACGCUGAGACGCGAAAGCGUGGGGAGCAAACAGG
Molecule: ribosomal RNA, 253 nt
Filed under: uncultured bacterium
Lineage: Bacteria
Description: partial 16S ribosomal RNA
Rfam family: Bacterial small subunit ribosomal RNA
Source: RNAcentral